CAUGGUCUUUUUGAUUAUAAUUUAAGAUUUAAUCUGCUCAAUGAUUGUUUAAAUUGCCGCAGUAUUUUAAUUGUGCAAAGGUAGCAUAAUAAUUAGUUUCUUUAUUGGGGGCUGGUAUGAAUGAUUGGACGAUAAAAUGGCUGUUUCUUUAUAAAUAUUUAAUUAAUUUUAUAUUUUAGUUAAAAAGCUUAAAUUUGUUUAAAAGACGAGAAGACCCUAUAGAGUUUAAUAUAAAUUUAUUAUUAAAUUAUAGAAUAUUUAUUAAUAAGUAAUUAUUUAGUUGGGGUGACUUAAAAAUUUAUAAAAUUUUUUAAAUUUAAUAUUUUUAAUUAAAAAAUAUUUAAUCUUUUAUGUAAAGUUAAAAUAAAUUACCUUAGGGAUAACAGCGUAAUUUUCUUUUAAGUUCUUAUUAACUGGGAAGUUUGCGACCUCGAUGUUGGAUUAAAAUUUAUUUUGGGUGUAGUAGUUCAAAAUUUAAGUCUGUUCGACUUUUAAAAUUUUACAUGAUCUGAGUUUAGACCGGCGUGAGCCAGGUUAGAUUCUAUCUUUAAUUUAUUAAAAUUUUUUAGUACGAAAGGACCAAUUAUUUAUUAAAUUGAUUG
Molecule: ribosomal RNA, 602 nt
Filed under: Taphes brevicollis
Lineage: Eukaryota; Metazoa; Arthropoda; Insecta; Coleoptera; Lycidae
Description: partial 16S ribosomal RNA
Rfam family: Bacterial large subunit ribosomal RNA (bases 379-536)
Source: RNAcentral